AUUAGUAUUAGUAGUUAAUUACUUGUUAUGUCAUGGUAUAAAUACUAGAUGAAUAUUCUUGUGAACUUGGAGAAUUUCAUUUUAUGAAUAGAUCUCUUUGCUUGUUUGAUUGUUGAUCUCAAUAACCAAGAAUUGAAGCAUUCAAUAUGGUAUCACUUGUAGCUCCUCUUGACGAUCCAAUCUCUUCAACACAGUAAUAACAUGAAUCUUCCUCUUCUUCAUCUCCAACUCGCGGCGAUCUGGGCGAUUUCUUCUUCAGAGAAUUUUUCAGCACGAUCUGUGUGUGAUUUAAGAAGAUCAUCUUUCCACGAUUUCGAUUUGGGAUAAAAGAUUUGAGAAGACGAUCCAUGUCCGUUAGUCUGGAAAUCGUUGUGUGAUUUCUUCUUCUCCUUGAGCUAAUUUUUGUCAAAAAAUUGCAGAAUUAUUUCAGCGAUUUCAGGUACGUGAUUUCUGUUACUUUCUCGAUCUGGUCGAUUUAAGUAUGGCUAUUGUUUCCUGAUCUGGCGAUUGGAUUUUUUUCUUCUGUCAUCUGGUUGCGUUAUCUGUCCAGCAAGAAAUUGGAUUUCAAUUUUGCGUCAUCUUUAUAAAUAUUUGCGAUUCGAUUUUGCGAGUUUCUAUCUGGGAUUUUACGUCAUCAUUUUGUGAUUUCUUGGCUGUCCAAUUUAUAAUUUCUUCACUAUUGGAUGUCCGGCGUGCUUCCACGACUCUCAUCAAUGGCUGGCAUCCGGAUCUUUGUAUUUUUGGUGAAUGGAAUGCGAUUGGGAAUCCCGCGAGCAUCCUCACGAUGAUCGCUUUUUUUUCUUACAGUAAUUACUUAAAUUUUUACUGUUUGAUAAUUAGUUAUAUUUCUCUUCGUAUUUUCGUUCACUAUUGUACUAAUAAUUAAAUCAGUUCUUGCGAUUUUGCUUUGCGUUCUUUUUUGCGAUGUGCUGAUAAUCAAAUCAGUUUUUUUUGCGUUUUUUUUCAUUACUUGAUAUGAUACAAGUAACUAAAAAUCUCAGUAGUGUUGCAAGUUGAUUUAGUUUUGUUUUUUUUCUAUUGAUUAAUUAGUACAAUUU
This 1058-nucleotide long non-coding RNA is filed under the name Zostera marina. RNAcentral's name for it is "long non-coding RNA (ZMAR_LNC004544)". Lineage: Eukaryota; Viridiplantae; Streptophyta; Magnoliopsida; Alismatales; Zosteraceae. The record is from RNAcentral.